Dermochelys coriacea (leatherback sea turtle) is the source of this 475-nucleotide long non-coding RNA. RefSeq lists it as uncharacterized. The transcript is spliced from 3 exons. Lineage: Eukaryota; Metazoa; Chordata; Testudines; Dermochelyidae. The record is from RefSeq and is a predicted model, not a curated record.
UGAGAUAUGUAUGCAGUGAAUAAGAAAAGACACAUGCAAUAGGACAAGAGAAGAUACAGUGUUGUUGAAGAUAAAAAGCAGCACAGAACUGCAAAGCAAAUAUCAUGAUGCCCAUCUGAGCCUCUUACCAGCUUAAUCAGAAGUAUCAACCCCUUGAAAUGGAGAGAUAAUUCAGAUGUCUCUCAUGGAUGUUGUUUCAAAUUCACUGCGGACUCAGGAAGAAAGAACUGCCAAAUUGGAUAUACUUGUGUUACAUUUUAAGGUUAUUUUUGCCAUUAUAUCUGCUAAAGAUUUUUUUUUUAAAUGAAAGGUUAGAUUCUGGAGCACAAGAUCACAGCCUCCAGAAAAAGAAUCAGUUUACCAACUGCAAGCUGUCCUAAAUAUUCUCUUGCUAGAUUGGUUUUUAACAUUGUAAAACAUGAAAUUAAGACAAUCCAUUAUUUUGCAUUCUACUCAUAUAAGGCUGAUUAGUGCA